GUGAAGUAUGACACAAGAUUAAUGAAAAUCAGAAUUAAGUAUUCAACAUGAUUAAAGAUUAAGAUUAGAGAAAAAUGAUCUAAGUAGGAAUAACAAAAAACAAACGAAUCAAGUUCAAGAACUGGGAAAUGUGAAGUAAAGAAAAAUGUCGGAAUUUACAAAGGUUUUGUCUUUAAUCGUUGACUAGCUUGGCAUGCACAGGAGCAGGACUAGUGACGACGGAGCUCGGCGGAGUUAACGGCGGAGAUGCUGAUACUGGAGCCGGAGGUGGUGGUGGGAUUGGUAUAUCCGUUGAAGGCGGAGGAGGUGCGGUGGUUGUAUCUAAAUCCGGCGGAGGAGGUGAAAAUUCCGGCGGAGGAUUCGGAGUGGAUGGAGGAGGCGGAUUCGGAUUUACGAUCGGAGCCGGCGGAUUUGGGGAAAUUGAAGUAGAUGAUGAUGAAUCAGUUGGAGAUGGAGGAGAAGAUCCGAGAACAGGCGGGUUCGGGUUUGGAUUCGGGUUUGGGUUUGGGAAUGGAGUUAUGAAAGGAGAAGUAGAAGAAGAGGAAGAAGAAGAAGAAGAAGAGGGAUCGGUGGAAGAUGAGCAAUAGUCGCCGGAGCAGUGGUGAGAGUGACGGCGGAGAACACCGAAGGCUACGACGAGGCCAAUGACGAAGACGACGGUGACGAUGAAAAUGAAAAUCUUGGUGGCUUUGCCGACAUAGCAGAGCAUUGUUGUGGAUAUUCAGAAGAUCGGAAACCAAAAUUCUGUGACUAUUUUUUUUGGAUGUUUGUUUUAUUUUAUUUUUAUAGUUGUUGUGAAUGAAUUUUUAGAUUACAAAAAUGAAAUGAAUCUCUCUAUUAUCUCUCUUUCAU
Arabidopsis thaliana (thale cress) is the source of this 852-nucleotide long non-coding RNA. RefSeq annotates it as other RNA. The record is from RefSeq. Lineage: Eukaryota; Viridiplantae; Streptophyta; Magnoliopsida; Brassicales; Brassicaceae. The transcript has a single exon.